This 253-nucleotide ribosomal RNA is filed under the name uncultured bacterium. Its description in RNAcentral is "partial 16S ribosomal RNA". It matches the Rfam family "Bacterial small subunit ribosomal RNA", at positions 524 to 776 of the family's 1533-position model. The record is from RNAcentral.
UACGUAGGGUGCGAGCGUUGUCCGGAAUUAUUGGGCGUAAAGAGCUUGUAGGCGGUUUGUCGCGUCUGCCGUGAAAAUCCGGGGCUCAACCCCGGACUUGCAGUGGGUACGGGCAGACUAGAGUGUGGUAGGGGAGACUGGAAUUCCUGGUGUAGCGGUGAAAUGCGCAGAUAUCAGGAGGAACACCGAUGGCGAAGGCAGGUCUCUGGGCCACUACUGACGCUGAGAAGCGAAAGCGUGGGGAGCGAACAGG